AGUAGGCCAAUCCUCAUUCUGCAAGUGUCCUUGGCCCCUCAGUUUGUUGGCCCCGCAGUUUGUGCAGCGUCUCAGGCACUCCCUGAAGGUCGAGUCUUGGCCGAGAUUUCGGCUCACCCCAGUCCAGCUUCUGCUCCUAGCCAGGAAUGGCGUUUCCUAACCACACGUCCACGGAGCAGGGAGGUACAUCUCCACCCACUCCCAUUCCUUCUCCACAGCUUGCCAUGGGGCAGUGCUGGGUUUAGUUCCUCUCCUUAUUUGGAGCUGGGGUGUGGACAGGUGUGCAGGUGGACAGGCAGCAGCCAAGGUAGAACGCAAGUCAGCCACGGGUGGCAUGUCGGGAAGCACCAGAAAGUGCAAAAGUUUGGCAUCCAGGGCCUCCCUGGACCGACUGAAAUUUGGUCUAAAUGUGCUCUUGUACCCACGUGGGAGGGCUCAGUGCCGCCUGGGUCUGGAUUUCCUGGAGAUGGGAUUUCAGGGAGCAGAGGACGACUCUGGAUGAGUGACCUAGCCGAAAAUUAGAUCCUGACACAUAUUCAAGGAACCUGCUGCAGCUGUUUCUCCAAGAACAGAGAGCCUGGGGAUGUCCCAUCUUCAGCCCAUCAAGUCCCAAGUGCUUAGUCACCUGCUCAGCCCAGACAUGAGGGAUGCUAUCAAAGAAAAGCAAACAAUAACACACCCGUGACAAAGCCAUUUACUAAAUUAAUAGAGGCAAGGAGCAUAAAACCCUGAAAGAACGAUUAAACCUUGCAUUUGCUCCAAGCCUAUUCCUUUUCCACAUCUGCAUUUGCCAGGUCAUCUGCUCCUAACAGUCUUAUCCUUUUUGUGCCAUGAACCCCUUUGGUAGUUUGGUGACUGCCAAUAACAAAUCAAAUAAAAUAAUACAUAGAAUUACUGUCUUAAUCUGUUUUCCGUUGCUAUAACAGAAUAUCACAGACUGGGUAAUUUAUUUUUUUAAAGAAAGGUUAUUUAGCUCACAGUUCUGGAGGCUGAGAAGUCCAAGAGCAUGGCACCAGCCUCUGGCAAGGGCCUUUGUGCUGCAUGAUGAUGCAUCCCAGCAUGGGACAUGGUGAGAGAGCAAGAGCGAGAGAGCCAGAGAGAGCUCCAUGUUAUAACAAAAUCACUCCUGUGAUAA
Macaca mulatta (Rhesus monkey) is the source of this 1135-nucleotide long non-coding RNA. Lineage: Eukaryota; Metazoa; Chordata; Mammalia; Primates; Cercopithecidae. The record is from Ensembl.